Molecule: ribosomal RNA, 253 nt
Filed under: uncultured bacterium
Lineage: Bacteria
Description: partial 16S ribosomal RNA
Rfam family: Bacterial small subunit ribosomal RNA
Source: RNAcentral
UACGUAGGGUGCAAGCGUUGUCCGGAAUUAUUGGGCGUAAAGAGCUCGUAGGUGGUCUGUUGCGUCGGCUGUGAAAACCCGGGGCUCAACCCCGGGCCUGCAGCCGAUACGGGCAGACUAGAGUUCGGCAGGGGAGACUGGAAUUCCUGGUGUAGCGGUGAAAUGCGUAGAUAUCAGGAGGAACACCGGUGGCGAAGGCGGCUCUCUGGGACGGUACUGACGCUGAGGCGCGAAAGCGUGGGGAGCGAACAGG